Molecule: ribosomal RNA, 468 nt
Filed under: uncultured bacterium
Lineage: Bacteria
Description: partial 16S ribosomal RNA
Rfam family: Bacterial small subunit ribosomal RNA
Source: RNAcentral
GACGAACGCUGGCGGCGUGCUUAACACAUGCAAGUCGAACGGAAAGGCCCUGCUUUUGUGGGGUGCUCGAGUGGCGAACGGGUGAGUAACACGUGAGUAACCUGCCCUUGACUUUGGGAUAACUUCAGGAAACUGGGGCUAAUACCGGAUAGGAUCUCCUGCUGCAUGGUGGGGGUUGGAAAGUUUCGGCGGUUGGGGAUGGACUCGCGGCUUAUCAGCUUGUUGGUGGGGUAGUGGCUUACCAAGGCUUUGACGGGUAGCCGGCCUGAGAGGGUGAACGGCCACAUUGGGACUGAGAUACGGCCCAGACUCCUACGGGAGGCAGCAGUGGGGAAUCUUGCACAAUGGGCGGAAGCCUGAUGCAGAAACGCCGCGUGCGGGAUGACGGCCUUCGGGUUGUAAACCGAUUUCGCCUGUGACGAAGCGUGAGUGACGGUAAUGGGUAAAGAAGCACCGGCUAACUACGUG